Papaver somniferum (opium poppy) is the source of this 231-nucleotide long non-coding RNA. RefSeq lists it as uncharacterized. The record is from RefSeq and is a predicted model, not a curated record. The transcript is spliced from 3 exons. Lineage: Eukaryota; Viridiplantae; Streptophyta; Magnoliopsida; Ranunculales; Papaveraceae.
UAGAGUUUGAAUGUGUGUUUGGGUUUUUUUGUGCAGAUAUUGUGGUGGAUGAUUUUGCGAGUUGCAGGAAUCACAUUAUGGAUCUCUGAUCUUCGAUCUAAACUGGAGGAAUUCUUCAAUGCACAAAUGGCUUACUUGUGCGGAUAGAAUAGAAAUCAUGAUGCUCGGUAAGCUUCACAGUUUCUUAAACAAAGAGAUUCCAGAAAACAUGAUUGUGAGGAUUUCACAUGG